Molecule: long non-coding RNA, 2404 nt
Organism: Leucoraja erinaceus (little skate)
Lineage: Eukaryota; Metazoa; Chordata; Chondrichthyes; Rajiformes; Rajidae
Exons: 3
Source: RefSeq, a predicted model, not a curated record
GGGCUCCACGCCAGGCCGGCCACGUGGUCAAAGGCGGAGCAUCCAAUGGUCUCGGAUCAAGGAUAAACAUUGGACAGAUGCUCCCUGACCUGCUGAGUUCCUCUGUAAUCUCCAUCACUCUGCUGCUGAUUGAACUAUCAUCACAUACAAUCAAUGACAACUCAAAAUGGGUAUUGGAUCAUUAAGUAUUUAAUGAAAUUAUGGCUCGAUGGAACACCGAAUAUCGAUAAGUUUGUUUCCAGGCUCAUUUACCGGUUGCAAAAUAUGUGGCAUAACAGUGGCGAAAGAUACAUUCUCGCUUCAUUGAGAAGGAAGUUACUUUUGUCUCCCUCCAUUUUGCCUCAUCAGUCGGGUAUUGCAAUAAAGUCAGCAAGAUCCCGCUUUAGGUUGUCAUUCUGUCUGACUGGACUAUGCAGCCAUGCUUCCCGCUUUCAUCGGGAAUAAUAAUAAUACAACCUUUUAUGGUUAUUCUAAACGUAAAACUUUGCUGGUUCAGCCUGUGGCUUGGGAAACCAGCCUCUGCAUGAUAAAAUCAAUUUAUUGACAUAGAUUCUGAGUAGACUGCACUUGCGGCUCAGAUUGUCAGACCAAUCCAUAUUUGUGCUCACUGCAGAGUGCAGGGAUAGCACCAAAAAAGAUAAGCAUUACAUUUCCUCUUCAGGAGAUGGGAAGCGUUUUGUUUGAAUGCUAAUGUUACAUCUUAUACGGUAUAGAUAACUGACAUCUUGGAGUUCGUUUCAAAUGGGCCUUUGACAAUAAAUUAAGUUCAUAAGACCAUUAACUGUGCCCAAUAUGUCUUCCCAUCAUCUUUGCUGCAGCAAACGGGACUCACUCUGUCAGAUUUCACCCUCUGAUCCAGAGUUUAUAGAGGAUAUCUUUCACACAAGUUCUCACAGGACAAGCACAGGGCAGUAUGGGAUUUUGACAUAGGAUUAACACUAUUUCACCAGGGGGCUCCAGCUACAUCCUUAGCUUUGGCUCGGCUCUCAUAAGGUAUUUAUCCUCAUGGCGCUGGUCUCAGCGCAAGGGGUUCAGUCAUUACAUAUUGUGACUGGACAGGAUGGUUACAUCUGCAAAUAAUAUUAUAUUUUAAUGUUUAGUUAAGCAGAACAGACGUGAGGUCUCAAACUAGUUUCAUGGCAUACCCCAUGGACCUUUGGUUGUGUAUGGUCACACAUAUACAACAAUACGUCAAGGUCACGAAGAGCCGUAGAUGCUCUGAACUAGCAAUGUUUGUAAUUACAAAAACUUUAUAAAAAGGUAUUGGUUCAGACCAUCUCCAGGUGGUUAAAACGGGGUUUGGCUCAUGAAGGAGUAGAUACUGAUAUUUUUCGAGUCUCACUCCACCAGGGCUGCUACAACAUCAGCAGCAAAGGUUAUGUACCACAUCCUGGCGACUGCAGCAUGGUCGAACGAACAAACUUUCAUAAUAACCUAUUGCCAGACCAGGGGUAUUUGCCAACUCUAUUUUAGGUUCAGUGGUUAGUUUACUCCCGGAUGAGAGGAGUUACUAUUAUUUAUUCAUUAUGAAUGUUUCCCUCAUCUGUCAAUGAAGCAGUUGUGGUUGUGUAGACUCGUUUCUCACGGCAUGAAAUCACAGAGCUUUGAAAUCUUCACGGAAUCACUCACGUGACUCCGAAGUGAAAUAGUAAGAUUAAACGAGAAGUUACCAGUUUGAAGUUUGAUCUUUAUUUUAUGAGGAGUUACGAUGAGCUAUUACGUGCCCAGCACUCCCUAUCCUCUCUCAUAAAGAUCACUCGGUAGCUCUAGGCUUCUCUAAGUCUUACUAUGUUACUUCGACUGCGACUUAUCUGUGAUUUCACACCGCUGCUUUGAAGAUUGACGCGCAUGUGGACUGGCGGGGCUUCUUCUCGUAAUCGCUCAUCGUAACUCAUAAAAUAAAGAUCAAACUUCAAACUGAUGUUCUCGUUUAAUCUUACUAUUUUUUAUCAAUCCUCCAUGACCUUCUCCUUGGUGCAUAGAAAUGCUAAGUACUCGUUUUGUAACUCACCUGAAUCCUCUGACUCCAAGCCUAAUUUUAAUCUUCUAUCCUUGUGUGAUCCUAUCUUUUCCUUAAUGACCCUCUUGUUUUUAAUGUAUGUAUAAAAGGCCUUUGGAUUUUUAAAAAUCCUAUUUACUGAUAACAUUUAAUUGCCCCUUUAGGCCCUUCUAAUUACCUACAAGUUCAUUCCUGCUUGUGCAAUGUUCAAUAAAGACCCUGUCUGAUUUUGUGUUCUGAAUCCUUCUGAAUCGUCCCUCUCUUUGGUCAUGCAAGGUCCCUCUUCCUUACUGGAACAGACCAGUCAUGAACUAUGAUUAACUUUAAAUGACUCUCACAUGUCAGAUGUGGACUUACCCUCUAACAACCACUCCCAAUUUACCGUCCCUCAGCAGUUCAUUUCAA